Molecule: ribosomal RNA, 443 nt
Filed under: uncultured bacterium
Lineage: Bacteria
Description: partial 16S ribosomal RNA
Rfam family: Bacterial small subunit ribosomal RNA
Source: RNAcentral
CCUACGGGAGGCAGCAGUGGGGAAUAUUGGUCAAUGGGCGAAAGCCUGACCCAGCAACGCCGCGUGAAGGAAGAAGGUUUUCGGGUUGUAAACUUCUUUUCUGAGGGACGAAGAAAGUGACGGUAACUCAGGAAUAAGCCACGGCUAACUACGUGCCAGCAGCCGCGGUACUACGUAGGUGGCAAGCGUUAUCCGGAUUUAUUGGGUGUAAAGGGCGUGUAGGCGGGAAAGCAAGUCAGAUGUGAAAACUCAGGGCUCAACCCUGAGCCUGCAUUUGAAACUGUUUUUCUUGAGUGCUGGAGAGGGAAGCGGAAUGCCGGGUGUAGCGGUGAAAUGCGUAGAUAUACGGAGGAACACCAGUGGCGAAGGCGGAUUGCUGGACAGUAACUGACGCUGAGGCGCGAAAGCGUGGGGAGCAAACAGGAUUAGAUACCCGAGUAGUC